Molecule: long non-coding RNA, 2573 nt
Organism: Macaca fascicularis (crab-eating macaque)
Lineage: Eukaryota; Metazoa; Chordata; Mammalia; Primates; Cercopithecidae
Source: Ensembl
ACAGCUGAGGGACAGGGAACCUGGUUUCCUCCAUACAGACACAUGAGUCUUCCCUAAGUGGGUCUUCCCCACAGGGGUGAGGGGGCAUUCAAUACACACCUCCAGCUCACCUCAAACCAUCUCAGGAGGCCACCACCAACUCACACAGGCCAGCUGCAUUGUCACAGUGACCCCAGAAGAGCACAGCCCUGUCCUUCAGAUGAAUAAACAGAGAAAGAGACACAUCUCACAGCCAGGAGCUGCAACUCAGGCCCAGGUCCAGCUGCAGUGUUGCCUCCAUGGCUCUGCCUGCACCUCCUCCGGGACUCAAUUCCCGCUAACAAGUGAGCACUUGAGUACAGGUGAAAUAGGUGCUAUUAUCCCCAUCUGGCUGCUGGGGAAAGGGAAGCAAGGCACAGGUGACUUGCCCAAGGCCAAAGUGACAGGGUUGGUUCAACCCCAUCUGUCUCAGCCAGCACAUCCCCAUGGCAGAGGCUUUACUGUGAUCCAAACCUGGAAGGUGGAACUUCUUCCAAUGUCCCACCCAAGGCACAGAGCAUGCAGCCCCAUGUUUGGGGAGGUGACAGUGUGGAAAACAAUCUGGCUAGGCCAAGGCCUUAUGGAGCCCAGGGUUCCCUAGGGCCAGGACAGCACUGGAGCCCACCCCAACACCCAUUGGAAACCUGGAAUCUGCACCUGCAGGAGAUCAGGAGAGGGGUUCAGUCUCCGAUGCACCUGCAGCAAGGUGAGACAGGCACAGGUGGGCAUCCUGCUUCCAACCAGCCUCAGGUGGGCAGGAAGCAGAUCCCCUGCCUGACCUUCCUCUCCUGCCUCCCCCAAGCAGAGAAGGGGCAGCCGCCCAUCAGGCCAUUGCCCACAUUGAAGCCACUGAUGCUAGGUCCCAACAGGCGAGUGUGACCCCUGACUAUCCCAGGCCUGGCCCAAGGCAGUCCUGUCUCUGGUGAGGACCUGGUAGACAGGAGAUGUGAUGUCCCCACGUGGCUCUAUAAACCUCUGAUUGAGGAUAAUCAAGGAAAUGGGCAAGACCAUCAUGCUCAGCCAAGAACACAAGAAGGACCAGGGGCAUGCAAAAGUCAGUUUGGGCCCAGGCCUGGCCCCUGGAAGGAUGGUGGAUGAGGGGUCAGCCACGGUGAAGGGGAAUGGAAGGCCACAGACUGGGUGGUCAGGGCUGUCAGCUCCUGCAGCCCCAGCAGAACAUCUGCCCCGGCCUGGCUCUGCACUCAGCCUUCUGCCUGGAGCCACAGGUGCCUGGACACCAGCCUCAAGUAGGGAUGGAGGUAGGAAAGGCACUGUGGCCACAUGUGGGCACCUAAGCAUGGGACAGAGGGAUAUCGUGCCCCAAAGAGACCAUAGAGGUCAAGAGCUUAAGCAGAUGUGACACCAUCAAUAAACCCCCUUGUCCUGGGUCACAUCAAUUAAGUCAGCACCUACCCUGACCCUGAAGCUGCAGCUCAGUCUGGUUGAGACUCACAGAGAGAUGUUAGUGCUGGGCAGGGGGCCUGGCCCAGCCUUUGAUGUCCAGCAAAGCUGUGGGCUGGACAAGAAUCUCUGAAGAUUAGUCCAGGACAAGGACAGCUGUGCCUGGGCAGCGAGUGGGGGCAAUGCCCAGGGGGCAGGAGGCCUGAGGACAUUUAACUAGGUAGGGUGCCAGGUCAGGAUGCUCAGAAGAGAAGGUGGCAUGGCAGCAUCCUGCCCGAGGCCAGGCUAUAAACCUAGGGGCCACCUGGUCUAGCCUAAACAAUGCUGCCACCUAGAUACUAUCCUUCAAAUGUGAGGCAGGGCUGGGAGAGCCCCCUGCCCCCUCAUCCCUCCUGCCCCAAGCUGGUUACCAUCCCUCACUAGAAGGAAAGGGGACUCUUCUAUGGGGCACAGCAUGCCAGGUUCUCCAUCACCUGGGGGAAGUGGCAGGGGAGAGGGGGAACUGCAGCUGGGUGAAAAAGAACCCAAGUUCCACUCUGUUCCUUCCUGUCAUGUGACCUCGGGCAAGCUGCUUUCUUUGCCUGGGGCCAAGGAGAGUCACAGGGGAAGGGCCAGGUUAAAAGAGCUCCACCCUGGAGCCCAGAGCUACCCACAGAGAAAACCCCCAUCCUCCCGAUUCUGCUCCCACCUCACGCUGCUGGGAUAACAUCCUCCCCAUCAGAGAGGCCGUGGGAGGCAGAGGCCGACCCUGCUCCUUCAGGCACCUCGGCGGGUUUGGGUCCACCUUCACCAUGAUCAGGGAGUGGGUCCCUGGGAUCACAAAGGUGAGGGGCAGCUUCUCGGGCUCCAGGUGCUCCAAGGUAGACCCUGCAGGGUACCAGAGCUAGAAGGGCAUUGGGGAAGACCUUGAACCAGGCCAGGACCUGAGCUCUGCUUGGACACGGUGACUGAGCCAGGUAACCCUAUGUCUCAGUCUGUCACUCUGUCUCAUGCGGGAUGUCAGCAUUACCUCUGGAGUCAAAGUAGGUAAGCCAGAGUAACCAGAGAUCCCAGUAGGGACCAAGAUCAAAGGAUGCAGGGAUCGGGACUGUCCCGGAAGGUCAGGCUAGACGAGGGGCUCUGAGAAGCUGGGGCAGCCAAGGGCCUGCCCUUCA